This is a long non-coding RNA of Haplochromis burtoni (Burton's mouthbrooder), 602 nucleotides long. RefSeq lists it as uncharacterized. NCBI's taxonomy places the organism in Eukaryota, Metazoa, Chordata, Actinopteri, Cichliformes, Cichlidae. The record is from RefSeq and is a predicted model, not a curated record. The transcript has 3 exons.
GAUCAGUGACCGGCCGGCCCCAUUAAUUUCGUGAACAUGCAACAUUUAUGCAAAGUGAUGCUGACUCAUAGCCACAUGCUAACAUGCCAUCAGCGUAGAAGAUCUAUACUGUGAGUGAAGACCCAAAGUUCACCAGAGUAAACCUCAAGUGGACCACCAUGAAAAUGUUCAUAACAGCAAACCGAAAAAGACAUCUCCCAGCUGACCAUGGAUAUUUUAAAGAAGCUAACAAAGGCUGUGAGGAAAAUUUUGACUGAGAACACCUGCUUGUGGGGUGAUUCUAGGAGGUCGAGGCUGAGGAGCUACAGCGAUGGAGGGAUGAAAGAACCACGAGAGAGGGGUUGAGGGGGAAGACCGCGAGAGGCUAACAGGUGCUUCCUCUAUGGGACUCUGGGAAAGAAGACGACUGGUAAUAUGAAGCAGCAGAGGCAAGGAGCAACCACUAGUGGGCCCCAGGAAGACGUCCUCACUCCUCUCGCCGUCUCACCACUGCAUCAACCGAGUCGGACCCCCUCCUCCCCGUCCUUUGUCUCCUGCUGUCUCAACAGCACUCGCUGCGUGUUGGAAGGUGCAGAAGGGCCUGUUGCCAGAGAGACAAUUCA